This 467-nucleotide ribosomal RNA is filed under the name uncultured bacterium. RNAcentral's name for it is "partial 16S ribosomal RNA". It matches the Rfam family "Bacterial small subunit ribosomal RNA", at positions 28 to 507 of the family's 1533-position model. The record is from RNAcentral.
GACGAACGCUGGCGGCGUGCUUAACACAUGCAAGUCGAACGGAAAGGCCUCUUUCGGGGGGUACUCGAGUGGCGAACGGGUGAGUAACACGUGAGUAACCUGCCCUUGACUUUGGGAUAACUUCAGGAAACUGGGGCUAAUACCGGAUAGGAGCUCCUGCUGCAUGGUGGGGGUUGGAAAGUUUCGGCGGUUGGGGAUGGACUCGCGGCUUAUCAGCUUGUUGGUGGGGUAGUGGCUUACCAAGGCGUUGACGGGUAGCCGGCCUGAGAGGGUGACCGGCCACAUUGGGACUGAGAUACGGCCCAGACUCCUACGGGAGGCAGCAGUGGGGAAUAUUGCACAAUGGGUGGAAGCCGGAUGCAGCAACGCCGUGUGCGGGAUGACGGCCUUCGGGUUGUAAACCGCUUUCGCUCAUGACGAAGCUUUGUGUGACGGUAGUGGGUAAAGAAGCACCGGCUAACUACGUG